This 965-nucleotide non-coding RNA is filed under the name Pteronotus parnellii (Parnell's mustached bat). RNAcentral describes it as "12S ribosomal RNA". It matches the Rfam family "Bacterial small subunit ribosomal RNA". The record is from RNAcentral. Lineage: Eukaryota; Metazoa; Chordata; Mammalia; Chiroptera; Mormoopidae.
ACAUAGGUUUGGUCCCAGCCUUUCUAUUGGUUGUUAGUAAAACUACACAUGCAAGUAUCCACAUUCCGGUGAAAAUGCCCUCUAAAUCAUCAAUGAUAAAAAGGAGCAGGUAUCAAGCACACUAUUAAGUAGCUCAUAACGCCUUGCUUAGCCACACCCCCACGGGAAACAGCAGUGAUAAAAAUUAAGCAAUGAACGAAAGUUUGACUAAGUUAUACUAUACAAGGGUUGGUAAAUCUCGUGCCAGCCACCGCGGUCAUACGAUUAACCCUAAUCAAUAGACAUACGGCGUAAAGCGUGUUUAAGAUUACUCCAACAAUAAAGCCAAAUCUUAGCUAAACUGUAAAAAGUCCUAGCUAUUGUAAGACCUAUUACGAAAGUAGCUUUAAAUGAUCUGAAUACACGACAGCUAAGAUCCAAACUGGGAUUAGAUACCCCACUAUGCUUAGCCUUAAACUUAAAAUAUUAAAAUAACAAAAUUUCUCGCCAGAGUACUACUAGCCACAGCCUAAAACUCAAAGGACUUGGCGGUGCUUCACAUCCCCCUAGAGGAGCCUGUUCUAUAAUCGAUAAACCCCGAUAGACCUCACCAACCCUUGCCAACUCAGCCUAUAUACCGCCAUCUUCAGCAAACCCUUAAAAGGAACCAUAGUAAGCUCAAUUAUCUCACAUAAAAACGUUAGGUCAAGGUGUAGCUUAUGGGUUGGAAAGAAAUGGGCUACAUUUCCUACAUAUAGGCCACAAUCUUUAUACGAAAGUACUUGUGAAAUCAAGAACUAAAGGUGGAUUUAGCAGUAAAUUAAGAAUAGAGUGCUUAAUUGAAUAAGGCCAUGAAGCACGCACACACCGCCCGUCACCCUCCUCAAAUAUUAAAGAUAAAACAAAACAUAUACCCAAAUAUCACAUAUACUAGAGGAGAUAAGUCGUAACAAGGUAAGCGUACUGGAAAGUGCGCUUGGACAACU